Long non-coding RNA from Camellia sinensis, 1053 nucleotides. RefSeq lists it as uncharacterized. The record is from RefSeq and is a predicted model, not a curated record. NCBI's taxonomy places the organism in Eukaryota, Viridiplantae, Streptophyta, Magnoliopsida, Ericales, Theaceae.
CUCUCUUGGUAAUUUUCUUCCGCUCCAAGAACUCUCUAAAACCCUAAAUAGAUAGAGAGAAUCACACAAAUAUACACAGUCGAGUAGUUGGAUCAAUUAGCACUUUGUGUGGAUUUGAUCAUCGAAAUUGAAAAUUAGGGUUUUGAACUUCACACAGAGAGAGAGAGAGAGAGAGCGAGAGUGUGUGUGUGUGUGUAAAUGGCUUUGACGAACUUAAUUCUGACGGUGGCAGGAGUGAGCGCAGUGAUUCUGCUGAUGAGGAGCGAUGUGAAGCAAACCUCCACAAUCUUCCGUCGAAACGUCCGUCAGAUUCGCCAGUGGCUCGAACAAGAGUCCUCCACUGCCGCCAAGGAAAUGGAGAAGGUUAAACCCAAGGAGUUGCCUGGAAAAGAUAUUCCCAAGGGAGACAAACACUAGACGUUUUCGAUCAGACCCAGGGUUUAUAUAUAGAAACCGCUUAUUCUUCCGUUGUCCAUGGAAUUCAGUCUAUGCUUGUAUAAAAGCUUGAUCAAUGUAGUUCACUUAGGACUCAAAAUAAUUUUUGUUCUAUUUUUCUUAGCACUUCCAACGGUACUCAAUAUAGUCUGAUAGACAGUAUACCAUGAAUAAGUGUUGUCAUUUUGAUGAAGUCUUUUGCUGUAGCAUGUCACACUGUAAUACUUUAGCACAAGAUUAUUGGCAUGCAUUUUAUUGUGUUCACAUUUGUGUGACCAAUUUUUCUUCGUUUCUUUCCGUGGAAGACUAGACAAACUAUGAUCUCACCCUUAGCCGCUUUCAACUUUAACCAACGUGGCUGGACUUUGUGCUUUGUUGGUGGACCUCGUGCCAAUUGGAUUGGCUAAGAUUAGCUUUUGAGGAAUGUCUGAUUCAUUCAUGAAAUGGACUGCAUUUGUGUUCCUCUUCUGGAACUAAUUUCUUUUCUUGUUAAUUCUGUUUAGCCAGCGAGCUAAUGCAACUCAAGAUAAGGUCAUGGUUGUAUUGUAAUGGGUGACUUCAAUCUGUUUCACAUAUGUAUUGAUUGUAUGGAAUCCAAUGUUGUGUUGUUGGUGUUAA